This is a long non-coding RNA of Ahaetulla prasina, 1244 nucleotides long. RefSeq lists it as uncharacterized. NCBI's taxonomy places the organism in Eukaryota, Metazoa, Chordata, Lepidosauria, Squamata, Colubridae. The record is from RefSeq and is a predicted model, not a curated record. The transcript has 3 exons.
CUCAAAUACUUUGGCCACCUAAUGAGAAGGAAGGACUCACUGGAGAAGAGCCUAAUGCUGGGAAAGAGGCGACGGUGCAUCCAUGUGUGUCCAGCUCACCGAGUCUAGCCUGCUGCGCCUCAAAAAAAAUAACCCAUCUGUAUUAUUAAAACGUACAUGCCGGCCACAUGACCAUGGAGACGUCUUCGGACAGCGCUGGCUCUUUGGCUUUGAAACGGAGAUGAGCACCGCCCCCUAGAGUCGGCAACGACUAGCACCUCCAGAAGGCAAGCCAAGAAACAGUGGAUGGAAACGAAUCAAGGAGAGAAGCAACCUGGAAUUAACAGUGAGGACAAUUAACCAGUGGAACAGCUGGCCUUCAGAAGUUGUAGGUGGUUCAUCAGUGGAGGUUUUAAAGAAAAGACUGGAUAGCCACCUAUCUGAAAUGGUAUAGGGUCUCCUACUUGAGCAGGGGGUUGGACUAGAGGACCUCCAAGGUCCCUUCCUGCUCUAUUCUGAUUGAUUGAUAUGCAGAAUUAUUCAGUGCUGAAUCUUAAAUCAGAACAAUGGGGAGGAAGGAAAUGCCUUUGAUGAAGAAGGCAAACAAUUCUGGGUCCCAAAGAGUUUUAUAAUUCAUUGUUUAAAAAGUACUUGAUCUCACUGUUGUUAUGCCAAAAUGCUACUUUGUCUCUCUGUGUUAGUUUUUUGGAGGAAGUUUCAAUGGGAAGUGUUAGCAUCAGAAAGAAGUAUGUAGUAUUUUCUGUUCAGGUAUGUUCUGCUCCAUUCAUUGCUCCUCCAGAGCAUCGGCUACUUACCAGUCAAAGAGCAUGGAGAUGACUACUUACCAGUCAAAGAGCAUGGACAUUUGCUCUGCGCAUGCGCAAGAUGGCGCUGUUCUGAAGACUCGGCUCCGGCGAGGAAAAAGGCCCCUCCGAUGCUGGCAAUGUCCUGGCGGCCCGUCUAGCCGCUUGCUGCCCCCGGCCUGGGAGAUCUCUUUUCGAGCAGCCAUGGGAGAGGUCUCUGGACCUUCUCUGAUACAUGGCUGCCGAGAACGAGGCCGGGUAGGCUGGCGGUGGAUUCGGAGGCCAUGUUCUGAGGCACGGAGGUGGGGCGAUGAGUCGGCGUUUUCUAGCCAGCCGUUUUUCGGCCGAUUCGUUUCGCUGGCGGGCCUCUAGCCUUGGACUCGUCUUCCGGCCCUCUUCCGACCAUCGACUUCGGACUUUGGGGGUUUCAGCCUCUGCAACUUGGAUGAGAGCGGAGGUAUU